AAGUCGUAACAAGGUUUCCGUAGGUGAACCUGCGGAAGGAUCAUUAAAGAGUAAGGGUCCCCAGGGCCCGACCUCCAACCCCCUUGUCGUUGAAAAGACCACCGUUGCUUUGGCGGCGCGGCCCCGCCGACCGCCAGAGACCACAACCAAAACCCUUUCUUAAACCGUCGUCAGAGUACAAAAAACAAAAUGAAUCAAAACUUUCAACAACGGAUCUCUUGGUUCCG
This 227-nucleotide unclassified non-coding RNA is filed under the name air metagenome. RNAcentral's name for it is "partial contains small subunit ribosomal RNA, internal transcribed spacer 1, and 5.8S ribosomal RNA". The stretch from base 1 to 46 matches the Rfam family "Eukaryotic small subunit ribosomal RNA", at positions 1786 to 1831 of the family's 1831-position model. The record is from RNAcentral.